This 253-nucleotide ribosomal RNA is filed under the name uncultured bacterium. RNAcentral's name for it is "partial 16S ribosomal RNA". It matches the Rfam family "Bacterial small subunit ribosomal RNA", at positions 524 to 776 of the family's 1533-position model. The record is from RNAcentral.
UACGUAGGGGGCAAGCGUUGUCCGGAUUUAUUGGGCGUAAAGAGCGUGUAGGCGGCUAGGUAGGUCCGUUGUGAAAACUCGAGGCUCAACCUCGAGACGUCGAUGGAAACCAUCUAGCUAGAGUCCGGAAGAGGAGAGUGGAAUUCCUGGUGUAGCGGUGAAAUGCGCAGAUAUCAGGAAGAACACCUGCGGCGAAGGCGGGUUGCUGGGCCGACACUGACGCUGAAGCGCGAAAGCUAGGGGAGCGAACGGG